CAUAUGUCAAACCAGCAUUAAGGCUCCCUGUGUUCAAUAGGGCUCCCUCCAAAGUAAGUGUGUGCAGGAUGGCAGCCUCAGGUACAUGUAUUCUAUAUAUCCUCCAUACCUUCUGAGUGUUCCUAUUUUCCAGGGACAGUCACAGAUUUACAGAAGCUGUCUCGGUUUCUGAUUCAAUCCUAGAAUGUUCCGCUUUUCCUUAGGAUGUCCCUAUUUUCAUCGGACAAAUAUUGGAGGGUAUGGAGUUAUGAAAACCCCAAGCCAAGGAGAAAAGUAACUACAGUGGUACCUCGGGUUAAGUACUUAAUUCAUUCCGGAGGUCUGUUCUUAACCUGAAACGGUUCUUAAUCUGAAGCACCACUUUAGCUAAUGGGGCCUCCUGCUGCCGCCGCACUGCCGGAGCCCAAUUUCUGUUCUUAUCCUGAAGCAAAGUUCUUAACCUGAAGCACUAUUUCUGGGUUAGCAGAGUGUGUAACCUGAAGCGUAUGUAACCUGAAGCCUAUGUAACCCGAGGUACCACUGUAUACAACCUUUAUAAGACAUCUGAAGGCAACCCUGUAUAGGGAAGUUAAAAAAAAAAAUGUUUAAUGUUUUAUGAUGUUUUUGGAUAUGUUGAAAACUGCCCAGAGUGGCUGGGGCAAUCCAAUCAGAUGGGUGGGGAACAACAACAACAACAACUGAAUAGGACGUCCCUAGUUUCAUUGGAGAAAUGUUGGAGGGUAUGAUCCUCAAAGUGCAGAUUUUGAACAGGAAUAGUAUUUGGCCUAUUACACAUUACAUAAAAUAUUCAGACCCUGCCUUUCCUCAUAUAGUUCAAGGUGGCCACAUAACAUAUGAUUCUAGGCCCACGGUCUCCAACAGGCAGGUCAUGCCGGUUGUACUAUAACUGGAUCUCCCAUACGUGGAGAUCUACAAGUACCACUUAAUAUCUGCCCUGUCUUUGCAAGAAAGCAAUUCCUCAGCGUGGCAGCACCCAGCCUUUGGAACGCCCUGCUCAUCAGUAUUAGACUGAUGCCUUUGUUAUACUACUUUUGCCAUCUGCUAAAAACUGUUGUGCUCCAGCUAGCAGGCAAGUAAUUUCAGUCUGCAAUUUCAAUGUGCGAUUUUAGCAGGCAUCUUUGUUUUAAAAUUGCUUUUUCAUAUAUUAAUUUUAUUGUUUUUGACAUUUGCUUUGAUUGAUACCAUUGCUGGUUUUUUUGGGUUGUCUUUUGUUAACCACUUAGAUGUUUUUUAGUUUGAGUAAGCAACAUAUGCAUUAUGUCAAAAAUUAGAGAGAGAGAGAAUUUUUGACAUAAUGAAUAUGUUAUGCAUUACAUAAUGUGGGCCUUUCUUCUACCCAUGAAUAUAUUGAUGGGUGGAAAGAAGGCCCACAUUAUAGCCUGAAGUUCGUGGUACAGUUUGGUCUUUGAAGGGCUGAUAUGAUAUUAUCUAGCCAUGGGCAACUUAAGAUGGAAGGGAAAUUCCUAUUCAGAAGAUAGUAAAUGCAAGUUUGUACAUGAAAUAGUCUGAUCAGUAUUCCUGUGCUUCUUAGAUUUUGAGUUUAGAAUGGCUAUGAGCCAUCUUUGUAAUCACCACAAUGGAAGGCAAUUUAAUGAUUUUCAAUAUUUAUUUGAGAUUAGGAGUGUUGAUGGAUUUAGUGUUUUUUAGAUUGAUUAAUCUUCUGCCUCUUAAUGAAUCAGCCAGUGAAUCUCUACACAAAAUUUAUAGAUAUUUGAGUGUUACCUAAUCCUUAAAAUAGGGGCUUUUAAAAGUUCAUUAAGUACAUGUGAGACUUUAUAGAAGUAAACAAAGACUAUCAGUCAUUUGUUUGGAAGGAAGUCUUUCUUCAUUUUUAUUCCUUAUCACAGUUAUGUAACAUUCAAAAUAACCUUGAAACAUAUGCAGAAUAUAUUCUAGUGCUAAAAAUUAAAAAUUGCUUCAUUGAUUGAAUUGAUCUUCCCUGAUUCAAGGUUUGAGCCCAAACUGAAGUCUACAGAUUGCCUUAUUUCUCCACUCCAUACAAUAUUAAACCCCACAGAAGAUUUUUUAAUAUUAUUAUUAUUGAAACAGUAUUCCACAAAUUCUAAAUUUGGUGUGGUGUUGGGAUAUGUAUGAGCCUGAGAUUGCCCAAGUAAUAUGGGACAUUUCCAGAAUUAAAUCAACAUUUGUAAGUCUUGUAUGACUCAUUAACAAAUUAGUUUCAUGGUUGACUUACAUUUGUACAUGUCAGGGUGUGAAUUUUAUAUACAGAUCAACAAGAUGGGACAGAUUGAGGUGUGAACAUAUUUAUGUAAGGGAUCUGUAGGUUUAGAAAUAAAGAAAGCAGAAUAGGCUCCCUAUUGAUGCCUUUUGAUUUGCCUUGUUCUUUCCACACUCUGAUAUCCAAGAAGCUUUGAAGAUGACAGUCAGAUAUUGUGUAUUAAGUAGAAGCCAAAGGCUUGUGACAGAGCAAGUCAGAAAGCUAAGGAUAUUUCAAAGCCUUAACUAAAUAUCGGCAUAUACCAUGUGCCAACCCUUCACUCACAGUUAGUGGAACACAUGUAUUUCUGUCUCCUGCUUCUCUCUCAUUCUCUCGGCCAGAAACCAAACAACGCACAAGCUGGCCAACAAGUGCCACAUUUUCUCAAGCAAGAUGAAGAAACCACCCCGGUUGUGGACUCUCCAAUCGCCACUCUUUCAUCUACAUCAGCUAUUCCAGCCGAAGGAGGAGGGUUUCUUUGAACUUCUUUGAACUAAUUUGAACUUGGAGCUGCAAACUGAUUUGAACUUUGAACUCAUUCAAAAUUCAAACUUGGAGCUAUUCGAACUUGGAGCUUCGAACCCUUAGCCCACUUAAGUCCCCUUGGCCCACUUAAGUCCCUUUAGCCCACUUAAGACCCAUUAGGCUACUUAGGUCCCCCUAGCAAACUUAGCUCACUUACAUCCGCAUUAGCCCAUUUAAAUUCACUUUAGCCCCCUUACGUCACCUUAGACCACUUAAGGGACAUAAAGGGACUUAAGAUGGCUAAUGGGACUUAAUUGCUUAAGGGGACCACAGGGGGCAGGCUUCAGCAUUUCACUCAAGAAUGGUGCCAAACAACAACAGAUGGGUGAUGUAGUGGUUCUAGGGGUUGCUCAUGCGUAAGCCGGUGCAAACACCUGGCUGGGUUGCCUGAGUGAACCUUUUCUGUCCGGACAGCCACUCACCCGUGGCUGUCUCAAUCGCUGGCAGAAUCUGUCAGUGGGCAUUUCUUAAACUUCUUCCAGCAAAGAAGCUCUUUGACGCCUAGUCUCCUCCUACUCUCUCUGCGCGAAAGCCUUCUGUGCAAGGAGGGCGUAGGCAGCGGAGGACCCCUACUCUCCCCGCUGGUCCCCGGCAAGGAGUCAUGGGACCACCUCGCCGCUUCCCCCAUCUGCCCCCCUUCUCCACUGGUGCUACGCUGAUUCUCUUCCCCAGAAGAUGGGCUACCUCUCCCAAUCCCGGGACGCUCUCUGGAAUCCCUCUGGAUCUUGCUCUCUCCCUCUGGCACUGAUGGCAGUUCCCUGACAGGUGAUCAACACAGUUUCUUGCAGAUACUCUUUGUUUUUUUCCAGAAGUGCAAGAAGUUCCCAAGAGUGUGACAUACAUAUAAACAACAUCACAUCACCUCUCAGUUGGCCCUUAUGCAUAAAUCUGUUUCUCUGCUAAUGUUAAGGUAAAGGUAAAGGUACCCCUGCCCGUACGGGCCAGUUGUGUCCGACUCUAGGG
RNAcentral lists this long non-coding RNA (3706 nucleotides) under Podarcis lilfordi (Lilford's wall lizard). The record is from RNAcentral. Lineage: Eukaryota; Metazoa; Chordata; Lepidosauria; Squamata; Lacertidae.